This 90-nucleotide transfer RNA is filed under the name Streptomyces rimosus subsp. rimosus. RNAcentral's name for it is "tRNA-Pro". Lineage: Bacteria; Bacillati; Actinomycetota; Actinomycetes; Kitasatosporales; Streptomycetaceae. The record is from RNAcentral.
GGCUGGGGUGCGGUGGUGGUGGCGGGGCUGAUGGGGUCAGCCGAAGACGCUGCGGAUGUCUUCCCCGGCGUUCGGGCCGCCCGUCGCCAC